Molecule: long non-coding RNA, 284 nt
Filed under: Mytilus galloprovincialis (Mediterranean mussel)
Lineage: Eukaryota; Metazoa; Mollusca; Bivalvia; Mytilida; Mytilidae
Source: RNAcentral
AAACUAGAGGCUCUAAAGAGCCUGUGUCACUCACCUUGGUCUAUGUGCAUAUUAAACAAAGAACACAGAUGGAUUCAUGACAAAAUUGUGUUUUGGUGAUGGUGAUGUGUUUGUAGAUCUUACUUUACUGAACAUUCUUGCUACUUACAAUUUUCUCUAUCUAUAUAGACUUAAUUGGCCCUUUAGAUACAGAGGAAAAUAUUUUGUAAAAAUUUACAAAAAUAUACCAAAUUAAUGAAAAUUGUUAAAAAUUGACUAUAAAGGGCAAUAACUCCUUAAGGGGU